RNAcentral lists this ribosomal RNA (461 nucleotides) under uncultured bacterium. RNAcentral describes it as "bacterial SSU rRNA". It matches the Rfam family "Bacterial small subunit ribosomal RNA", at positions 28 to 507 of the family's 1533-position model. The record is from RNAcentral.
GAUGAACGCUAGCGGCGUGCCUAACACAUGCAAGUCGAACGUGAGAGGGUACUUGUAUCCUUGAAAGUGGCGGACGGGUGAGUAAGACGUAGGUGACCUGCCUUGAAGUGGGGGAUAACCAUUGGAAACGAUAGCUAAUACCGCAUAAGCUGGUGACGAUGGGAAUCGUUAUCAGGAAAGCUUUAGUGCUUUGAGAGGGGCCUACGGCCGAUUAGCUAGUUGGUGAGGUAAAGGCUCACCAAGGCGAUGAUCGGUAGCUGGUCUGAGAGGACGAUCAGCCACACGGGAACUGAGACACGGUCCCGACUCCUACGGGGGGCAGCAGUGAGGAAUAUUCGGCAAUGGGGGCAACCCUGACCGAGCAACGCCGCGUGGAGGAUGACGGUUUUCGGAUUGUAAACUCCUUUUCUCAGGGAAGAGUGAGGACGGUACCUGGGGAAUAAGUCACGGCUAACUACGUG